Molecule: RNase P RNA, 362 nt
Filed under: Nostoc sp. 3335mG
Lineage: Bacteria; Bacillati; Cyanobacteriota; Cyanophyceae; Nostocales; Nostocaceae
Description: RNase P RNA component class A
Rfam family: Bacterial RNase P class A
About the family: Ribonuclease P (RNase P) is a ubiquitous endoribonuclease, found in archaea, bacteria and eukarya as well as chloroplasts and mitochondria. Its best characterised activity is the generation of mature 5'-ends of tRNAs by cleaving the 5'-leader elements of precursor-tRNAs. Cellular RNase Ps are ribonucleoproteins.
Source: RNAcentral
CCAGAGGGUCGGGCGACCGCGUCGCGCAAGCGUCGAGGAAAGUCCGGGCUCCACGGAAAGCACGGUGCCGGGUAACGCCCGGCGGGGGCGACCCCAGGGAAAGUGCCACAGAAAGGACACCGCCGUCGCUUCGGCACGGUAAGGGCGAAAGGGUGCGGCAAGAGCGCACCGCGGGCCCGGCAACGGGACCGGCACGGCAAACCCCACCGGGAGCAAGACCGAAUAGGGACCGCAUAUGGGGCCGCUUCCGCCCCGUGGUCCGGGUUGGUUGCUGGAGGCCGGGAGCGAUCCCGGCCCGAGAGGAAUGGUCGCCCAUCCGCGAAAGCGGUGGACAGAACCCGGCUUAUAGACCCUCUGGCACG